RNAcentral lists this ribosomal RNA (253 nucleotides) under uncultured bacterium. Its description in RNAcentral is "partial 16S ribosomal RNA". It matches the Rfam family "Bacterial small subunit ribosomal RNA", at positions 103 to 354 of the family's 1533-position model. The record is from RNAcentral.
CGGGUGAGUAACGCGUGGAUAACCUGCCUCACACAGGGGGAUAACAGGUUAGAAAUGACUGCUAAUACCGCAUAAGCGCACAGUCUCGCAUGGGACAGUGUGAAAAACUGAGGUGGUGUGAGAUGGAUCCGCGUCUGAUUAGGCAGUUGGCGGGGUAACGGCCCACCAAACCGACGAUCAGUAGCCGGCCUGAGAGGGUGAACCGGCCACAUUGGGACUGAGACACGGCCCAAACUCCUACGGAAGGCAGCAG